This 250-nucleotide ribosomal RNA is filed under the name uncultured bacterium. Its description in RNAcentral is "partial 16S ribosomal RNA". It matches the Rfam family "Bacterial small subunit ribosomal RNA", at positions 524 to 773 of the family's 1533-position model. The record is from RNAcentral.
UACGGAGGAUCCAAGCGUUAUCCGGAUUUAUUGGGUUUAAAGGGUGCGUAGGCGGUUUAGUAAGUUAGAGGUGAAAUCCCGGGGCUCAACUCCGGAACUGCCUCUGAUACUGCUAAGCUAGAGAAUAGUUGCUGUGGGCGGAAUGUAUGGUGUAGCGGUGAAAUGCUUAGAGAUCAUACAGAACACCGAUUGCGAAGGCAGCUCACAAAGCUAUAUCUGACGCUGAGGCACGAAAGCGUGGGGAGCAAAC